This 71-nucleotide transfer RNA is filed under the name Camelus bactrianus (Bactrian camel). It matches the Rfam family "tRNA". From Rfam's summary of the family: Transfer RNA (tRNA) molecules are approximately 80 nucleotides in length. Their secondary structure includes four short double-helical elements and three loops (D, anti-codon, and T loops). The record is from Rfam by way of RNAcentral. Lineage: Eukaryota; Metazoa; Chordata; Mammalia; Artiodactyla; Camelidae. RNAcentral also lists the same sequence under 2 other names.
GAGGCUAUAGCUCAGUGUUAGAGUGCUUGCUUAGCAUGCACAAGGUCCUGGGUUCAAUCCCCAGGACCUCC